RNAcentral lists this ribosomal RNA (450 nucleotides) under uncultured Rhodocyclaceae bacterium. Its description in RNAcentral is "bacterial SSU rRNA". It matches the Rfam family "Bacterial small subunit ribosomal RNA", at positions 929 to 1382 of the family's 1533-position model. Lineage: Bacteria; Pseudomonadati; Pseudomonadota; Betaproteobacteria; Rhodocyclales; Rhodocyclaceae. The record is from RNAcentral.
GCGGUGGAUGAUGUGAUUAAUUCGAUGCAACGCGAAAACCUUACCUACCUUGACAUGUCCGGAGUCCGAAGAGAUUUGGGAGUGCUCGCAAGAGAACCGGAACACAGGUGCUGCAUGGCUGUCGUCAGCUCGUGUCGUGAGAUGUUGGGUUAAGUCCCGCAACGAGCGCAACCCUUGUCAUUAGUUGCCAUCAUUUGGUUGGGCACUCUAAUGAGACUGCCGGUGACAAACCGGAGGAAGGUGGGGAUGACGUCAAGUCCUCAUGGCCCUUAUGGGUAGGGCUUCACACGUCAUACAAUGGUCGGUACAGAGGGUUGCCAACCCGCGAGGGGGAGCUAAUCCCACAAAGCCGAUCGUAGUCCGGAUCGCAGUCUGCAACUCGACUGCGUGAAGUCGGAAUCGCUAGUAAUCGUGGAUCAGCAUGUCACGGUGAAUACGUUCCCGGGUCUU